ACGUAGGUGGCAAGCGUUGUCCGGAAUUAUUGGGCGUAAAGCGCGCGCAGGCGGCUUCUUAAGUCCAUCUUAAAAGUGCGGGGCUUAACCCCGUGAUGGGAUGGAAACUGGGAGGCUGGAGUAUCGGAGAGGAAAGUGGAAUUCCUAGUGUAGCGGUGAAAUGCGUAGAGAUUAGGAAGAACACCGGUAGCGAAGGCGACUUUCUGGACGACAACUGACGCUGAGGCGCGAAAGCGUGGGGAGCAAACAG
RNAcentral lists this ribosomal RNA (250 nucleotides) under uncultured bacterium. Its description in RNAcentral is "partial 16S ribosomal RNA". It matches the Rfam family "Bacterial small subunit ribosomal RNA", at positions 525 to 775 of the family's 1533-position model. The record is from RNAcentral.